RNAcentral lists this ribosomal RNA (664 nucleotides) under uncultured Oscillatoriales cyanobacterium. Its description in RNAcentral is "bacterial SSU rRNA". It matches the Rfam family "Bacterial small subunit ribosomal RNA", at positions 99 to 796 of the family's 1533-position model. Lineage: Bacteria; Bacillati; Cyanobacteriota; Cyanophyceae; Oscillatoriales. The record is from RNAcentral.
CGGACGGGUGAGUAACGCGUGAGAAUCUGCCCUCAGGACGGGGACAACAGCUGGAAACGGCUGCUAAUACCCGAUGUGCCGAGAGGUGAAAUGUAAUUCGCCUGAGGAUGAGCUCGCGUCUGAUUAGCUAGUUGGUAGGGUAAGAGCCUACCAAGGCGACGAUCAGUAGCUGGUCUGAGAGGAUGAUCAGCCACACUGGGACUGAGACACGGCCCAGACUCCUACGGGAGGCAGCAGUGGGGAAUUUUCCGCAAUGGGCGCAAGCCUGACGGAGCAAGACCGCGUGCGGGAUGAAGGUCUGUGGACUGUAAACCGCUUUUGAUAGGGAAGAACACAAUGACGGUACCUAUCGAAUCAGCCUCGGCUAACUCCGUGCCAGCAGCCGCGGUAAUACGGAGGAGGCAAGCGUUAUCCGGAAUUAUUGGGCGUAAAGCGUCCGUAGGUGGUGAUGCAAGUCUAUUGUCAAAGCAUGAGGCUUAACCUCAUACCGGCAGUGGAAACUGCAUUGCUAGAGUGCGAUAGGGGCAAGGGGAAUUCCCAGUGUAGCGGUGAAAUGCGUAGAUAUUGGGAAGAACAUCGGUGGCGAAAGCGCCUUGCUGGGUCUGCACUGACACUGAGGGACGAAAGCUAGGGGAGCGAAAGGGAUUAGAUACCCCUGUAGUCC